RNAcentral lists this ribosomal RNA (282 nucleotides) under Rossellomorea vietnamensis. RNAcentral's name for it is "Bacillus vietnamensis partial 23S ribosomal RNA". It matches the Rfam family "Bacterial large subunit ribosomal RNA", at positions 2691 to 2925 of the family's 2925-position model. The record is from RNAcentral. Lineage: Bacteria; Bacillati; Bacillota; Bacilli; Caryophanales; Bacillaceae.
ACCGGGAUGGACGCACCGCUGGUGUACCAGUUGUCUUGCCAAAGGCAUCGCUGGGUAGCCGCUGGUGUACCAGUUGUCUUGCCAAAGGCAUCGCUGGGUAGCUAUGUGCGGAAGGGAUAAGUGCUGAAAGCAUCUAAGCAUGAAGCCCCCCUCGAGAUGAGAUUUCCCAUCACUUUAUGUGAGUAAGAUCCCUGAAAGAUGAUCAGGUAGAUAGGUCUGAGGUGGAAGCGUGGCGACACGUGCAGCUGACAGAUACUAAUCGAUCGAGGACUUAACCACAGU